UCGUGAAGGCAAGACUGUGCCUUAGAGGGUUCUCCAUCAAGAUGAGAUCAGGAUGAGAUCAGUUUGCUUGGUUUCCUCAGAUGCAAUACAGGAGGAAUAAUAGGGCUUAAUGAAUUUAGCCAGAAGCUUAACCAUCAUUACCCAGGUCCAAUAGCGAAGUGAACUGCCUAUUUAGUCACAGCGCAAUCUCCAAAGCUGGUUAGGGGCGCCAACUUUUGGGCUGUCAAUCCUGUCCACAGGGGUAGGUUACUACAGUAUUUGGUUUGGACUACACAAUCCUCCUUGGUGUCCUUGCCUAAUUGCAUCAGGAGUUAAUAUCGGACCAAAACCUUCAUAUAAAAUUGUAUCUCCCAGGAAUUUAGGAUUGAGUCCAAGAGAGUUCAAUUAGCAUCUUGGUAUUAAUAUCUUGAUGUGGUUAAAUAGAAAUCCCGGAAUGGACAGUUGGCAAUUUGCCAUCAUGAGACACUUAAUCAGAAUGCACACACGUUAACACACAUGCAGAAGCACACGUGUACACACAUGUCCACACACUGAUGCACAGAUGCAGAAUUCGGGGACACAGUAGUCGUGCCCCUGAUCCCUGUCUGGGUCCUGGCUGUGUUUCUGACCUUAGGUUUGGUGUUUGGUUUCGGUUGUUAUCAUUGCUAAACUAGGUCAUCAUUUCUGCUUCUCAGAACCCGAGAAUCCUAAGCAAUCCCGUUCAGCAAGGACAGACUGCUCGGAAGGCAGGGCACGUGCGGUGAUACCCUGACGGGUCCAGUUAACCCAGGUCCACUCCUCAGAACUGAAUUUAAAUUCCCACCUGCUCGGCAAAUGGGUCAUAAACUUUUCUCAUCUCGAUCCCCCUCAAGGCAGAAAGACACCAGUUUUUAAGAGCCUCAGCAGUUGGCUUCCCUUCGUUAUUGUCUUUCCCAGAUGCCAGAUAAGCUUGCUCCCGUCUGGGGGCAGAAGAGACUUGGAAAGAUGAGGUGCAGCCACCGGCCAGUGCCCAGGCGAGGUCUGCUAGCUGAAUUCAUCCCUGUGGAGGUGGGUCUGCUUCGUCUGUGACAUAGCAUGGUUUGACGUCCCUGGUGGCUCAGACGAUAAAGUGUCUGCCUACAAGGCGGGAGACCCAGGUUCAAUCCCUGGGUCGGGAAGAUCUCCUGGAGAAGGCAAUGGCAACCCACUCCGGUAUUCUUGCCUGGAAAAUCCCACGGACAGAGGAGCAUGGUAAGCUACAGUUCAUGGGGUCGCAAAGAGUCGGACACAACUGAGCAACUUCACUUUCACUUUAGCAUGGUUUGGUAUCUGCCUGCCUGGCUCAAGUCAUAUAUGAUGUCUAGCUGAUACACGACAAUGCAUAUGUACACUUUGUAACCGUAAAGAGAGGGUGGACUCUAUUGAAGGAUUUCCAAAUAUCCACUGUCUCCAGUUCAGGACUGUGGUCACUGUCAUUAGUGGGUGAGAAAGAGCAGGCAGCAUUC
RNAcentral lists this long non-coding RNA (1463 nucleotides) under Bos indicus x Bos taurus (hybrid cattle). RNAcentral's name for it is "lncRNA (ENSBIXG00000002967.1)". The stretch from base 1065 to 1136 matches the Rfam family "tRNA". The record is from RNAcentral. Lineage: Eukaryota; Metazoa; Chordata; Mammalia; Artiodactyla; Bovidae.